CGACGCGCGAGGGCGCGGGCGGGUACCGGGUUCCCGUUUUUCCCAGGCCCCGAUCCCCGCCCACGCACGAGGCCCCCGGCCCACGCACGAGGCGCCCACGCCCAUCGUGGAGGCUCCGCCUGGAAAAGAAGUCCGACUUCCUCUCCAAGCUGCUCCGAGGGGAAUGGGGAAUCGGCAGGAAAUGACCCGAACUGCCAGCCUGCGCCUUUGCAGCCGGCCCUCGCUUUGCUGAAGACGAGCAGCUCCCACCAAAGUCUUGCCUCCCCUUACCCCGAAAGCCCCGCUCAGUUCAAUAUUUCAAGUGAAAAUCUGCCUGUUCGAAAAGAAAAUAUUCACAAAUGAGCAGUGUAUUAGAAGACAACUGAAUUGCUUCUAAGAAUGGU
This 383-nucleotide long non-coding RNA is filed under the name Homo sapiens (human). RNAcentral describes it as "non-protein coding LINC01116:3". The record is from RNAcentral. Lineage: Eukaryota; Metazoa; Chordata; Mammalia; Primates; Hominidae.